Long non-coding RNA from Peromyscus eremicus (cactus mouse), 501 nucleotides. RefSeq lists it as uncharacterized. NCBI's taxonomy places the organism in Eukaryota, Metazoa, Chordata, Mammalia, Rodentia, Cricetidae. The transcript has 2 exons. The record is from RefSeq and is a predicted model, not a curated record.
GGGGAAUUGGGUCUGAAUUCACUGCCUUGUCUAUGAAUUUCAAUCUUAUGCUAUGUCCUUCCUUGGAGGUCAGAAGAGGCUCCUUACAGCUGAGAGCAAUGUAACACCAUAAAUUCCAGGUAUUGUUUGACAGGUUGGCUAGUCUAGCCUUCCAAGGCCCUGACAAUAAUGUGCCAAUGUCAGCAGGAAGUAAUUACAGAAGCCAAAACACUGUUUUCCAAGCCUGCCUCUGCCAAGGUGGAUGCCACACUGGAAAAGGCCAUGGGAAAGGAUAAAGGAUCACACAGAAGAGUGCAAACAAAAGGGAAGAGGAAAAUAAAGGCAACAGGCUAAAGUGGCUGACCAACAACUACAGAUCUGCCAGUGGAAAGUGGAGACACUGAAAAACAGAGUCCAGUCUCUGAAGUAAAAGAGAAAAGCCAAGUCUGACUAACCAUCCAUCAUGUCUGUCAUUAACCCUGCCUCGCUUCUUGUACAAUCCAGAAGAGUAUUUUAACCAAA